AAGCUUAAACUUUAUCAACAUUAGAUAUAACAUAUGGAACUGUAAAGAACAACACAUAAGCUGUUCAUAUCUAGACUUUGCAAUUAAGCCACUCAUUGCAAUACACUCCUCAGGCAUUGUUUCCAGUGCAUUCCACAGUUCUGGAGGGUACACACAGGGACAUUAAAGGAAGAAGGCUUCUCCUUUGGAAUGAAGAGAGUGCAGUUACUAGCCACAGGCUUCACUUUAACAACUGCAUGGGCUCACAUUUUCCCCAUAUAGGCAGAGAGCUAUUUCUGUGCAGCAUGUCCUUUGUGAGGGGCAUCCAUGCCAUUCGUUUCAGAAUGAGAACAAGUCACAUUCUUCCUCAUCCAGGAUGCUCAUUAUCAGUUUGGCGUUGGCUUGUUUGUUGAUGUUGUGUGUUCUUUCAUGUUCUAAUGAAAACCACACACUUUCCUGGGCCACUUACCUUUCAGAAAAAGGAGUCACAUUUUACAACCACAUUUAACAUGGAGACCCUAAAAGAGUGACUUGGAACCCAAUCUUAAUUGGAUACAUAAACUGUUCAGUAUCAGGAGUUGACCCCCUGUUACUAUUUAACAUGAACUGGACAUCAGACUUGACAGAAAACAUAUCAAAGUGUCAUGAAAGACUCAUGGAAUUAGAAGUGGUGGAGAAAAACAGCAAAAGAGUACCAAUACCAUUGACCUCUUACUGCAAAUGCAGACAAAAGCCAAGACUCCUUUGUGUGAAUGCCAUUGCUUUUUAUAAACAAGUUAUGAGGAGCAAGUAGGUCAUCAUAUCAGAUAUUGUCCUCUCUGCUGCAGGCUGUAGAAAUGGACCUCCUUCAAUAUCUGCUUAAUGAGGGAAUAAGAACCUUGAUCUUGGCACAGAUCCUCCUGGGAGAACUCGGGGAUUUUGGAAUUAAUUUCAGGCAUGUUCUGGUUUAAGCAGUUCUCUGGCAUAUUUUCUCCACCUUAACCCCUGGUUCUCACAUUUCUUCUGCUCCUUCUUGAUAGGGAGCUCCAGAGCUCCAUGAGCUCCUAGGGUAGGAACUCAUGGAGAACUCCAAUUUGGGCUCUCUCUUUGCCUAGUUGUUUGUCUGUGUGUCUCUGCAUCUAGAUGAGCAGUAUUUUAAACAAAGUCUAGCAGCUUCCCCUCACAAAUGGGAAAAUCUAGGAGGCAUCAUUAUCUGGUGCAUGAGCACUUCAGGCAUUUGAUGAACUCCCCAGUUUUGUAUACCAUGCUGCGUACAGUUUUUCAGGAGCUGUGGAUAUCCAGUUGAUGAUGGUGGAUUGAUAGGGUUUUUAAAGAACUUCUAUUUAUAGUCCAAGCAAGUGUAGGCCAAGGAAACACUCAUGGUAUGGAGGAAGCAUGCCAUUCCUUCUGAUGCAAAAAGCGCUCUUUGAUGAGACACGCAGAAGUGAUGAAGAAUGUAGAAAGGGAGAGUGGGACAAGAAAGAAAGAUAACUGUCAGUGUGAAUGAAAAGAGAAGAAGGUCUGGGGGAGUGGGCAAUUGCUUACAUUCUCCAUUGGUAAAUAAAAUAUUUGCAUUUUAACAGACAUAGUUUUUAAGCACUCUGCAAUACCCCUCACACCCCUACCUCGCACCCUGCCUGUGGGGAUCACUUAAGUCUCUUGGGCAUGGGCUAUGUUAAGUAGCACUUUGGAGAUGCUGACACAAAACAGGACCUUUGGAAGAUCAAGCAGUGCUCUUAACCUCUCAGCCAUCUCCCCAGCCCAUGGUGAGUUGCCAGGAGCUGAGGAAUACUCUUGUGUUCUGUGUGUCAGGAUCUCCUCAAAGUGCUCCUCUUAAAUCACAUUCCUCCAUCCCAAAAACUGUGCUUGGGUGGGAUUAAUGUUUACCUCCCAUACAGAAAAGACACUAGAGUGCUGAAAGAAACAACACAGUGUGUCGUACAAAUGCUGGAGCCGGUACACAGACACAAGUUCACAAAUGGUGGUGUGAGAUAUAGACACAAGCUUGCAUGUGGUUGAGCAGGGCUUUAGAAACAAGCUUUAAAAAUGGUGGGGUGGGACAUAGACACAAGGUAAAUGUGGUGGGGUGAUAACUAGACACAAGGUCAAAAAUUGGGGUAGGAUAUAGAGAGAAGCAUAAAAUUCUGGAGCUGUGACAUGGACACAAAAACAAAAAUGGCAGGGUGAAAUAUACACAGAAGCUCACAAAUGUUGGACCUGGGACUUACACACAAGCAAUGUGAACCAGGAGGUGACAACCCUCUUCAGGUCCAUUACUUGGCUUAUGAAUGUGAGCACCUUAAUUUGCAUUUCCACCCAUGUUCUGUUGACUGUCAUUUCUCUGGUUUCUCAGUGGCCCCAGGAUAGACUUUUGGGUGUUUCCCACUGUAAGGCAGCCUUUUCAGUAUUAGUGAGUCAUUCCAGAAGCCACAGAAUAUCAUGUGGUCAACAUUUUCAUGUGUGUCAACAGGACAAAUACGGAAAAUCCAGUGGAUGUGGCUUCAGUGAGAACUAAAAGUGAAGGAAGGGAGCUGCUGACAUCCCAGAUACCAAUUCUGCUGCCUGCAUGCUCCUCACACUUCCACCACUGGCCUUUUUGGGGUACUAGGGGCUGAUUUUGGGUGUGGGUCUAACUUUCUGUGCAGAUAGUUGGAAUGGCUGUUUCAAAAAUACAUCAUGCAUUUGAAAUCAUUGAGUUCCUUGCAGCCAUUGUUUAUGUGACACUGUUAUGUGUCCUAAUUCUGUUGGUGAUGUUGUCCAUUGGCAUGAUAGUAUUUAUUAUACAUAAUUGUGCUUGUUAUAUUUUAAUAUUAUCUCUUAGAGGAGCAGAAAGGGGAUGGAUCUGGAAGAGAGGGGAGGUGUGGGGGAACUAUGAGGAGUAGACAGAGCCUGAGCUUUGACCAGUUGGACUUGCAGAGGACACAAGGGAACUCACCUACUCAUCUCUAAUGAAAUGCUUUUUUUUUUCCAAAGGCUUUUCUAAAACUGUGUUGUAGUUGGUGACUAUUUUAAAGUAGCCUUAUUCGUUAAGGUUCAUUAUGGUUAUGCUUCAUUAUACCAUUAUAGAUAUAGGAGAAUCAGCAAAUACAGAGCAUCCUUGAUUUAAUUAGUCCCUAAGAUAUUUUACCUUAUACAUUAUGCAAUGUUAUAAUCUAUACAAUGAUGUAAUUUACAAAAGUACAUAAUACUUCAAGAGCAGGAUUUAGACACUGGCACACUGGGUAUGUAGAAUUCUCUUUCACUGAAUCAUAUGUGUAAAUUCAUGCAAUUACCACCACAAUCAAGUUUCAACUCUGUUCCAUCAGAGGGAGGCAAUAAAAGGCAACCUAACAGGAAUGAAGUAUUAUUAAGUGGUACCAUGGUUUUUUACAUUUGUUUGGUUUGUGGUGUACACACAUGCAUGGUUUCACAUAUGUGUCAGGGGUGUGAUUUCUUUUCUGUUUUGUGUGUAGAGUCAGGUGAGAUAUCCACCAUCCACAUUUUGAAUAUCAACUGAUGUUGUCAUUGUAAGUGUCUUAUUUAUAUGACCAUAGUGUUUAGCUUAUAUGGGUGUAGCCUCCCCAUCACAUAUAAAAGACACAUUUUCAUUGCAGCUGUCCUGAUCCACAGGAGCUUAUAACCUUCCUGCCCCAUCUUUCAAUAUAUUCCCUAAGCCUUUUAUAUGGGGGUUGUGUUGUAGAUGUAUUCAUUGGGAAUGAACCCAGUCAACUAUUCUCAGCAGUUUGACCAGUUGUGCAUUUCUAUAAUAGUCUCGCUCAGCUGCGAAAAGAAUCUCCUUUGAUGAAGUUGAGACAUAAUAUACUCAUCUAUGCAUAUAAAUAUAAGUAUUUAGAAUGUACUUAGAAAGUGUCUAGGCAGUGACAGUAGUGAGCUCCCCUCUAGUGCCCAUGGUCUCACUAUAUUCUAACAUUUGUUUGUUUGUUAUCAGGAAACACAAAUGCAAGCAUAAACAAUACAAGAGUUGGAAGAGAGAAUUUCAGGCAUUGAAGAUAAUCUAGAGGAAAUAGAUUCAUCACUCAAAGAAAAUUUUAAAUCCAAGAAAUGCUUAACACAAAACAUGCAGGAAAUAUGGGAUACCAUGUAAAGACCGAAACAAAGAAUAAUAGGGAUACAAGAAGUUGAAGAAGUCCAACUCAAAGGCACAGAAAAUAGAUUCAACAAAAUCAUGGAAGAAAACUUUCCCAAACUAAAGAAGGACAUGCCUUUGAAAACACAAGAGGCUUACAGAGAACCAAAUAGACUGGACCAAAAAUUUCAUUUCACCUCUAAAAAGACACAGGCUGACAGGUAGGAUAUGAAAACAGAAUCCAUCCUUUUGCUGGAUACAUGAAAAACACCUCAAACUCACAGACAGACAUUACCUCAGAAUAAGUGUUGGGAAAAAAUUCCAAUCAAUUUGACCUAAGAAACAACCUGGUAUAGCUAUCCUAAUAGCUAUCAAAAUAGUCUUCAAACUAAAAUCAAUCAAAAAAGAUAAAGAAGGGCAUUUCAUAUUGAACACAAGAAAAAUCCAUCAAAAGGAAAUCUCAAUUCUGAUCAUUUAUGCCACAAACACAAUGGCUCCUGCAUUUGUAAAAGAAACAUAACUAACAUUAAAUCACGAAUAAAGCCCCACAAACUAAUAGUGGGAGACUUCAAUACCCCAUUCUCACUACAAAAACUUGUGGUAGUAACCAACCAAUAUCUGAUUUGAUUUAAGGCCCACUCCAUGAGAUGGAACCUAUACCUGACACUGUGUGGCUGACCAAGAACCAGAGAUUAUAUAGUCCAGGAACUCAGAGUAAAGCCAAGUUCUAAUGUAAGCAAUAAAUGACUCUUAAUGAGCUCCUGUCAUAUACAUAAAUCAGUGCCUUGUUUAGCCAUCAUCAGACAAGCUUCUUCCUGCAGCAGAUGGAAAUAAAUAUAGAGGUCCACAGCUAGACAUUUCAGAGAGCAAGAGAUGUUGGAACACCCUAAAUGGGAUGUCUUCAUCAAGUUCUUCUCCUCAAUAAUUAGGGAACCCUGUAGAAGAGGAGGCAGAAGGGGUGUAAGCAACAGACGGGAUGGAGGACACCAGGAAAACAAGGCUGUCUAAAUCAACAGUAUAAAGCUCAUAUGAACGCUCAGAGACUGAAGCAAUCUACAUGGGUCUACAUGGUUCUCUCCCAGACAUUCCGGACGUGUUUCCUGCAUACUUCAGGCAGCAGUGACAUUCACAUUUGAAAGUCUCCUGAUCUGCACCUUGAGAGGAAGACAGUUUACUUUUCCUGUCCCUUUGAUGGGGUAAGAGUGAUCUGACACGUUUCUUUCUCUUGAUUUCAGCUAGCUUUGCUUUCUUUUGGGGUGAUACUGAACUCUCAGGCUGCUGCUCUUCUUCCAUCCUUUCAAAGAAGAAAAGCACAUAUUACAAACACAAGGGUCAAUUGAAAACAGCUUCUGCUGAACACAUUCCUGGAGCUUCUACAAACAAGUGCAAAUACACAUCUCAGAAGGAGACCCUGAUGGUUUCAGCAAAGGAAAUCUUAGUUUCUAACUAGUUUGUGCAACCAUUUUGUUACGGUAAAUCUUCCCGCCAAAUGCCACCUGAGCCCCACUGCCACAUGUGAGCUUUACGCCAGCUUCCUGCCCGAGUUAGGCCCAAAUGAAUACAGAAAAACUUGUAUUAGAUUCAAAGCUGUUUGGCCAAUGGCUAGGAUUCUCAUCUGCUAGCUCAGUCUUAAUUAUCAUACAUCUAUGUAUUUUAUAAGACUUAUCGGACGCCUUAUUGGCAUCC
Molecule: long non-coding RNA, 5710 nt
Filed under: Cricetulus griseus (Chinese hamster)
Lineage: Eukaryota; Metazoa; Chordata; Mammalia; Rodentia; Cricetidae
Description: lncRNA (ENSCGRG00015042811.1)
Source: RNAcentral